Molecule: ribosomal RNA, 130 nt
Filed under: Carnobacterium gallinarum
Lineage: Bacteria; Bacillati; Bacillota; Bacilli; Lactobacillales; Carnobacteriaceae
Description: partial 23S ribosomal RNA
Rfam family: Bacterial large subunit ribosomal RNA
Source: RNAcentral
GUUAAGUUAAUAAGGGCGCACGGUGGAUGCCUCGGCACUAAGAGCCGAUGAAGGACGGGACUAACUCCGAUAUGCUUUGGGGAGCUGUAAGUAAGCUUUGAUCCAAAGAUUUCCGAAUGGGGAAACCCAA